Molecule: long non-coding RNA, 220 nt
Organism: Solanum pennellii
Lineage: Eukaryota; Viridiplantae; Streptophyta; Magnoliopsida; Solanales; Solanaceae
Exons: 3
Source: RefSeq, a predicted model, not a curated record
UUUGGAGAUGAUGUACAUGAUAACCCUCGAUUUAAGAGAGGAGGUGACACUCGCAGAGCUAGCAAAGAUGAAGGAGGUUCUAGUGCUAGUAAAUUUGACUUUGAACACGCAAUCAAUUUAGUGAACAAAAUAAAGAAACGUUUAGAAGACCAUGACUACAAAUCCUUCAUAAAUAUUUUGAGCGUGUAUAGAAAGGAGAACAAGGACAUCAAAGAGGUGU